CCUACGGGUGGCAGCAGUGAGGAAUAUUGGUCAAUGGCCGCGAGCCUGAACCAGCCAAGUCGCGUGAGGGAAGACGGUCCUAUGGAUUGUAAACCUCUUUUGUCGGGGAGUAAAAGUCUCCACGCGUGGCGUUCCGAGUGUACCCUAAGAAAAAGCAUCGGCUAACUCCGUGCCAGCAGCCGCGGUAAUACGGAGGAUGCGAGCGUUAUCCGGAUUUAUUGGGUUUAAAGGGUGCGCAGGCGGGUGAUUAAGUCAGCGGUGAAAGUUAGAGGCUCAACCACUUAAUUGCCGGUGAACUGGGAAGACUGGAGUGGGUUUGAGGUAGGCGGAAUGCGUGGGGGAGAGGUGAAAGGCAUAGAGAGCACGCAGAACUCAGAUUGCGAAGGGAGCUUACGAAGCCAGAACUGAAACUGAAGCACGAAAGCGUGGGGAUCAAACAGGAGUAGAUACCCGGGUAGUG
Molecule: ribosomal RNA, 460 nt
Filed under: uncultured bacterium
Lineage: Bacteria
Description: partial 16S ribosomal RNA
Rfam family: Bacterial small subunit ribosomal RNA
Source: RNAcentral